AAUAGUUUUUUAAAUGAAAACUGGGAUGAAUGAAGUGAUGAAAUUUACACUGUCUUAUAAUAAUUUAUUAAAAUUAUUAAUUAAGUGAGAAUACUUAGAUGAGAGCAUGGGACGAGAAGACCCUAUAGAAUUUUAUAUAAGUUUAAUAAAAAAUUUAGUUUUGAAUUUAUUAAAUUUAUAUUUCAUUGGGAGGAUGAUUAAAUUAUAUAAACUUUAAAAUAUGUAAACCAUUAAUUUGUGAAGUAGAAAUUUAGAAUGAUUAAAAUAAAUUAAAGUAGAAUUAAUUACCUUAGGGAUAACAGCGUUAUAUUUUUAGAGAGAUCUUAUUAAUAAAAAUGAUUGC
RNAcentral lists this ribosomal RNA (343 nucleotides) under Pheidole sp. ALM013. RNAcentral's name for it is "partial 16S large subunit ribosomal RNA". Lineage: Eukaryota; Metazoa; Arthropoda; Insecta; Hymenoptera; Formicidae. The record is from RNAcentral.